Molecule: long non-coding RNA, 2634 nt
Organism: Prunus persica (peach)
Lineage: Eukaryota; Viridiplantae; Streptophyta; Magnoliopsida; Rosales; Rosaceae
Exons: 7
Source: RefSeq, a predicted model, not a curated record
CAAUUUUCCCAGGAAACAAACAGCUCCACUAAAACGAAGGCUGUACGCUCCAAGAGCCUCUCUUCGUCUCUCAUUUCCUUAAAACCAAUAACCACAAACAAAAAAACAACGUCUCUCUCAUUUUUCCAUGUUCGACGAUCUUUAUCACCGAAAACUCUAACUCUCACAUUCCCGAUUUAGAGCCCAUUGUCAUUUCACAGUCACCAGAGCUUGGAUCGCUCCUAUGAAUCUAUACGAUUCUAACCCUUUCGCCGAUGACGAGGUCAAUCCAUUUGCAGUAAGUUCUUAUACAGACCUGCAUUUAUGUAUACGUGUUUUUGUAUCUAUAGACCGAAGUCUCCAUCUUCAAUCGCGAUUUCUAUAUGUGUCUGUGUAUUUACAUACACAUGAUCCUUUGGGAUUUGGAAUUGAUGAUAUGUUGAAAUCCUGACUUAUAGUGCUUCAAUUUGUUUUCAUUUCACUACUUUGGAUCUCUCUUUGGUAUUUGAUUCCACGGUGAAUUGAAACCCACAAUGCAGGUUGUGCGGCUAUGUUCAUCUCUAGUUUCUUUGUUUCUGUUAUUCAAUGGUCAAUUUAGUUGGUUAGAAAACAGAGAAAAGGGAAACAACUAGAAGGUUUGGAUCUUAGGCCUUUAUUUUUUUUUUGGGUUAUGUAGAACUCAAGCAUCUGAAUGGGUUCAUGUGCAUUGCUGGGGUGAUUGUGUUUGUCUGAUGUGCUGACUCUGUAAAGAUGAUUUCUGCAAAGAUGAAUUUUUUUUUAUUUCCCUUAUUGUAAUCUUCAUCUUAUUGCGUUUUGCUAAAUUUCUAGAAUCCUGGAAGUGUCCCCCCUGCAAACUCAAGGCUUUCACCUCUUCCUCGUGAACCCUAUGAUCGCAAUGCAACAAUUGAUAUUCCUCUUGAUUGGAUAAGGCUGCAAAGCAACAAUUGAUAUUCCUCUUGAGGGAUUUUUAUUUAUUUAUUUAUUUAUUAUUUUUAAGUUUAUUUAAUUUAUUUUUUCAGUUUUUUCUUCAGACUCGAAAUGACGUUUUUACCCCUCAUUUUGACACACAAAUUGACAGAGUUGGAAGGUAGAACCCAAUUGCAACUAUUUGUCCAAUUAAAGAAUUUCAUUGCCUCAAAAAUUAGUUCACGAAACCAAUUGCAAUUGGGGCCAUAGUUCAAGGACGUCUACAGUAAUUCUAUAUUUUAUGUGAACUCAAUUAUUUGAAUUCAUUUUGAUGUAAUAUGACUUUGACCUUCUAUUUAAUGAAACUCGAUUUCAAACCAAAAAAAAAAAAAGAUGGCCUAGUGUUGAAUCAAUUUUCGGAAAUCAUUAAAGCUUCAGUUUUCUGUUUAAAACUCUCUUCCAUAUUCUCUCAUAUCCAUCUUUCUCCAACAAACAACCCUAAAAUCUCUUCUUCUCGUGACCAUGGACAUGGAGAUCGAUAAAGAAGGCUACUUAGAGUUAUUUGUCAAGUGGUACGAGGAUCCAGAAGUCUUCCAGAUGGUGAAGAAGAGGGUUGCAAGAGCCACGUUGACGACGCAUAUCGGCAACAAGAACAACAAUGUCAUCGGCAACGUGGAUAUGCCAAAGUAGGAAUUGGUGUGGUAUGAGAAUCCAGAAAUCAUGGUAUGAGAAUCCAAAAAUCGUCCAAAAUUUGAAGGAGAUGUUUGGCCCUUCACUGUACGAAGAUGGAAAGCCUCAAGGCAUCGCUUUCUCUAGGCACUUCCCUAAUUGCUAUGCUUCUUUUGUUCCCGUUUUUGCCCCUUCCCCUUCGUUGCGAAGGUUUUGUCCGCUCAGAGAAGUGCCCAUUUUCAGUCCGUUUCGAACCAGCUGGUUGGGGGGCAGCCAUGGAAGAUCCGCAUUCAUUGUUAGACAUGCGUGGGGGGCCGUCGAUUUUUGUUUGGGAGGUGUGCUGCAAAUCCAGCCGCACUUUUAGUCUUUGUCUCACAGAUUUGUGGUCGGGAGAUUUCUCAUCCUUUCUACAGCCUUCGACUCAGACUUCCAUCUUUCUUGCUUGCGAAUUUUUGCAUCCUUUGUCUUCAGGUUCUUGGGUAAUCCCUAAUGCUUUUUUUAUUUAUUUUUUACGAAUUUGGGUUCAUUUAUUUGGUUACUUUGAUUUCAGGUUCUUGGGUAAUCCCUAAUGCUAUAUAAGAGGAGCUGAGGUUCUUGGGUAAUCCCUAAUGCUAUAUAAGAGGAGCUGAGGUAUUUAUAUUUCACAACAUAUUGGGUUCUAUCAGGAAGGGGAUUGAAUCUCACAGAUUAGCUCAGCUUGAAUACACCAAAAGGCAAGGGACUAGACAUUUGCAUUCUGCUGUCAUUUUCGAGGGUCAAGACCUCCAUCAAAGAGAAGAAAAAUCAUGAAGAAAUUGCAAAACAAAACUCGCCCAAUUAAACAGCAUGCUGCUCAAAACUAUCCAAAUUUUGAUAUUUUGAUGGAUACUUCCCACUAUUAACAUCUCAAUGUAUAUACAAACAAGUCUAUUAUUUUAACAUAACAAGUAGCCUAUAAAAUAUGUUAUUACUUACUUUUUUGCAACUUAUACUCCCUUAGUUAAACAUAAUGCUAUAAGUUAAAUCUCAUUGUAUAUAUAAACAAUCUUACUUUGUCUACGCAAUUUCAAAACCCGCAGCAUCGCGCGGGCUUUUCUGCUA